RNAcentral lists this long non-coding RNA (5592 nucleotides) under Phoenix dactylifera (date palm). Its description in RNAcentral is "long non-coding RNA (PDAC_LNC009358)". The record is from RNAcentral. Lineage: Eukaryota; Viridiplantae; Streptophyta; Magnoliopsida; Arecales; Arecaceae.
UUUGUUGCUUGAUCUUCGGAGGCGUUGUAGAUGCUGGCUCUGGUCCCGAUGGCUUGAACAACCCGUGAAGAUAAGCUCAAAUUUUGUUUUGCUGUAACAGGGGAUCCGGCGAAGAUUUGAUGCGGGAUGAGUCUUGUUCUGUGGAGUGGAGGCAAUCGGUUGGGAACGAGUUGGGAGAUGUUCGUGAAAGGAGGGAAUGGCUGGAUCAAAGGAAGAUGAAAAUAAUCCGGACGCUGAGCAGAGGAACAUCCAUCGCGGGUGGAAGCUGAUUGCGAACGAGAUGGGAAGUGUUCUUAGAAUCUGGAUGGAUCAAAACCAAUCCGAACUGAACGUUGAAGAUCUGCUGGGAUUUUUGAUUAACUUGCUCCGCCUGUGGAUUAUGGAGAGGAGAUGAACCUUGAAUCACGGAAGCAGGGAAGACGCGUACGGUUGCGGGAAGGAAGCAGGGGAGGCUUGGGAACAGUGGGGCGCUAACCUGCAACUGGCCGUGAGCUCACUGGGAAGGUGUUUGGAUGGAUUCGGAAGAGAGAUACGGCUGUGAUACGAGUGGUUCUCAUCCGGAAGUUGGAGAAGAUGGAAUGAACGAGAUGCAAGGGAUUCGAACUUAUCCGGGCUAGCGGGAGCUGAACGGAAGGAGAGGAUGGCACGGAUGCAUUGGACGGGAUGAAAUCUUGAAACAGGGGAUUCUGUGAAGGCUUGAUCUCCUCCGCAGAUGAUGGGAAAUGGUUGGGAAGAAGUGAUGAACCGUGAGCUGGAUGCGGUGGGAGAAAUCGCUGCUUCUUCAACGCAUGGGAGAAGAUCUUGGACGCUUGGAUAAAGUCUGGGAUGAUACGGAUGACGUGGGAGAGUGGGUCGAUGGAAAGAUGAACACAAUUGAAGCUGGGAGUUCGGGAUGCAUGGGAGAUGAACAUGGAGAAGAUACGUGGGGUGCUGGAACGCGUUCACGGAUUGGGGAGAUGAGGGAUUGAUUUGGUUUGAGGUUUUUAUUCAGCUGGGAACAGGCCAACGGCUCUGUUCUUUGGACGUGGAGGGAUUCGUGGGAUAAGGAUGAUUACAGGGGAGAUACUGUGCGAGAUUUGUUGGACUUGAAGCUGUGGAUAGGCUCGGGAGGAAUCCGUCGCGGGUGAUGAGAGAUUGCAUACGGCUGGGAAUUGAUCUCAUCGGAAGAGGAGUUCUGUUUUGAGGCAGGGAGGAAACUAGGAUGCUCAUCCGGCUAAGAUUUGAAGAAGAUAAGGCUUUGGGAUCCGUGCAACUAGAUGGUAUGCUUUGAGAUCUGAGAAACAAAUAAUUGAAAAGUGUGGAAAGAGAAUUAGGUGCAGAUGGGAAUUAAUGGAAAGCACUGAAUUUUGGAGGAAAGUUCUUGGAGUCGACUCCGGAGGAUGUGAAAUGAUGCAGUGUAGGUUUAGACUUUAUCUUAUUGAGCUUGACUCAACCUGCAUACAUUAGGCUCAAUUAAUAAAUAAUUAAAUCAAACUCGAAUUAAUUUAUUAAAAUGCAAUGAUGAGGGUAACACAUCUUUUAUGGUUAACUUUACAAAAUAUAUGUAUUAAAAUAAUGAUAAGUGCUAUGAGAAGGAUAUUAAUAUAUGCAUUAUUCAGCACUUAUCACACCCCCCAACCUACAUUUUGCUAGUCCUCAAGCAAAAUAAAAGCUAACUCACUUUCGCAGAAAUCGCGAUUGCAUUUACCGUAUGUAAUAAGGCUUUAAACCCCUAGGUGGCCCUAGUGGACGAGUUUUAUCUCGUGAGAGUUUCCGGCUCAGAUACCCACAAACUGCUGUCGAAAGAAUUUAUUUUAUUGCUUUAUAAAAUCUAAUUUCAAAUGCAUUAAUGCCAAAAAUUUCAAAAGCACACAAAGUUUUAAUUACUAAGUCAAGCCAAAUCCUAGGUCAGUAUGCAACUUAAGUUGAAGUCAUUAAAUUUCUGUUAGAGAGUUGUAAGGCUUAUUUAUACUUGGAUGCUCGGUGAUAUCUGGACCAUACACAAGCUAAGGCUUUAGAUUUCCCAAAAUACUGCUAAAGCUAGUAGUUUCCAAGAAUUGAUCAGAUAAGACCUAUUCACUGAUUCAAAAUCAUCCUAUCUUGCAGGAUUUCAAGAGUUGUGGAUGUUUACUUUAAUACCUCAUGGGUUUUAUCUGUAAUAUUCCAGUUUACUCGAAUUUUUACAACGACGGCUUUCACACUAUCAUCUUUUUCAAGGUCAAUAUUGUUUUCUCUUUCUUUUUUUUAAUUUGUUUUGUAUUUAUAAAUAAAUUAUGCACUUUUACUCUUGUAAUGAUUCUUUCGUGUAGCGAGCAUUCAGUCAACACUCCCACACCAGAUGGCAUAAGGUGUUGGGCAUCAAGACUCCCCUACGGACCUAUGCUCGGUUCCUCAUACAAGCCCGCUGGCCUUUGACAAUAGGUAGCCCUUUUCGAUGUACCUGACUGAAUUCACUUCUCUUUUUUUCUUUUCUUUUUCUUCUUUUUUUUAUGGGAUAACAGUGAAUUAGAUAGGAAUGAUUCAUCAAGACUCAAGGUUGCUACCAGAUUUAACAACAUAAUGUCGAACCUAACCCUUAGAAGUGCAGGCCGUACGUGUUGUGAAAUUCCAAAGUAAAAAAUUAUCUUACAACUCGCUAAAAGAAUUUUUAAUGAAAAGAGCUCAAAUUGACUUACUCCUGACUAGUUAUUGGGCUUUUUUAGAUUUUAUAUACUUUGUAUGUUUAUCAUUUCAACAAUAAAGCAUAGAAAUUAGUUUUUUUUUCAAAAACUUAUUCAAAAAUAUGAAAAUGUGAAAAAUAUCUUCAAAAAUUUGAAUGCUAUACCCCCCAACCUAGAUCAGACAUUAUCCUCAAUGUUUAUAUAUAUAUAUAUAUUGUUAAUAUUAUUAUUUUUUUUUACGUUAUUUUAUUUUGGACGAAAAUAUGAUGCAUAUGGAGGAUAGAAGCAUUUUACCUUAGUUGCAUCAGUAAUAUGAGGACUCCUGAAAAAAAUGCGACAAGAAAAUGUGCAAAAACGAACUACAAAAAUUGGGUUACCUCCCAACAAGCGCUAAGUUUAACGUCUGCAGCCAGACGCAGUGCAUCCUUAAUUAUAUCAUACCGGGCUCAUGCCGAGUUUUCCAAAGAAGAAAAUUUGUGGGAAGCUGAUUGUCGGGCACAGAGUUGACUGUUGCUAUGGCCUGUUCUAUAUCAAAGUCAAAAUGUACUAAUUCAGGAGAUCUGGAAUGACACCCUAUACACUAAAACUUGAUCAGUCAAGCAUGCAAUAAAAGAAAAACACACCAAAUCCUUAUGUUUGCCCUAAAAUCAAUAGACAGCUCCUAACUGGUUUGAAGAGGGCACCUAAGCCUCCAAUCCGAUCUAAUGAACUGAGUUGACCAGAUAAGCUCCCAGGUAAGUGGGGGGGUCACGAUGCGUUCGCAGAGGUCCCACUUAAAAACCACUUGCCUCGAACAGAUGAACUGUCUCCCUUAAAGGGACAAAACUUGCCUAGACAUCAACUGAGCCACAGAGCGAAAUUGGUGUAACUUUCGGUGAUCUUCAUCCUAUUGAGCUCGAAUGUCCUUAGGGGCCAACGUCUAAUUAAUUUUAAUUAAAGUGAUAGCUAUGUGAGAAUUGAUUCACCUAACUUGGGCAAGAAUCUGGUGAUGAAAUCCAGUUCUUAUCUUGUUGGGGUGAUUGCCCUUACUAUGUGCGGAUUAAUUGGUGUAUGUGUAUCAAGCAUGCAUUCACACUUUUACUGAAAUUAAAAUCAAAUAAUCACCACAAAAUUUCAAACAAACUGGGGAUCAAUUUAAAUAAGAAAGGUUUAGAGGUUACCAAAGAAAAUUUUCCCAGCAAAUUUUUUUUUUUUUUAAAAGCAAACCUCUACAGCAUUCUUUUUUCAGUAGUUUCUCUUUUGAUCAUCCCAAAUUUUUUCUUCGAUUCCUGAUCAAAUAAUACCCAAAGAAAAAUCAAAAAUUAGUUAAAAAAAAGAGAUAAGGAAAGUAACAAUAAUAAAAAAUAUUUUUAUUUUAUUUUAGACAUAUAUAUAUAUAUAUAUAUUGAAAGUUUUUUUUUUAUGAAAAGAAAAACAACUAUGCUAGCAAUCCCCGGCAACGGCGCCAAAAAUUGAUAGUCAACUUUAAAGACCACGCAAUAGCACGUAUCUAGUAGGAUAGUGAUUACGGGUAUCGAUCCAUAGGGAUUGGAGCAUAGUUGUUUUUCUUAAAAAAAUAAAAAUAUUUAAAAGAAAGAGUUUGUAAAAAAAUUAAACUAAGGAAUUUAAUAAUAAAAAAAUGCAAUUAAAAUGUUAUCAGUUUGAGGGAACCUAGGGCAAGGAAUUCACCACUAACAUCGGAACAAGGGUUAUUUAUAAUUUAUUUCGUUCUUGGAUUAAUAUGCAAAUUGGCUACAAGUCAUUAAGCAUUCGAAUAGAAAUUCACAAAAGUAAUUUAGGCAUAAUCCAUCUUCAGUUGGCAUGAAAAGUCUACCCUAAUCUAAGGUGGUAGUACAUCGCAUCUUUCCUAAGCAUGGACUAUCUUAUAUUUACUUAGUGAUCAUGAAGAACAGUUGUAUAUACUUCACAUUUAAAAUCACAGAAAUUAAACAUGAAAUAAAAGAAGAUAUUCAUUAAAAACAAUAAGUUCAUACAACUCCAAGAAUAUAAAAUAAAAUAUAAAACCCGUGUCCCUUUAUUAGGGCUGCAUCCAGCCCUAGUGAAAAGCUUAGGCUUCCAUGCAGUGGUGGACGACAGCAGCAGCACAGCAGCGGGCUCCCAUCUUCAUAUGAAAAUCUUCCGCUUUCGUCCCACUCCCUCUAUUCCCAAAAUAUCACAAAGUAUUCUCUCCCUCUCCUUUUUUUUUAUUCUUUUGUGGGAACUCCCUGUGAAGAGCUCAGUGGGAGAAGAAGGAAGAAAGGGAGCAGCCCCCUCCCCUGGUGGGGAAGAGGGAAUAAAGGGAGCAGCCCCCUCCCCUGGUGGGGAAGAGGAGGAAUCGAACCCCCCAGAAGUCCCUCCCCUAUUUCAUGCAUGGGCCUUUUAUAGGCUGCAAGCUCCAUCUCUCCUCUCCCCUAUUUUCCAUAGAGAUAAGGAUGGAUCGAAACUGGAUGGAGCUGAGGAUUUGUUGCUUGAUCUUCGGAGGCGUUGUAGAUGCUAGCUCUGGUCCCGAUGGCUUGAACAACCCGUGAAGAUAAGCUCAAAUUUUGUUUUGCUGUAACAGGGGAUCCGGCGAAGAUUUGAUGCGGGAUGAGUCUUGUUCUGUGGAGUGGAGGCAAUCGGUUGGGAACGAGUUGGGAGAUGUUCGUGAAAGGAGGGAAUGGCUAGAUCAAAGGAAGAUGAAAAUAAUCCGGACGCUGAGCAGAGGAACAUCCAUCGCGGGUGGAAGCUGAUUGCGAACGAGAUGGGAAGUGUUCUUAGAAUCUGGAUGGAUCAAAACCAAUCCGAACUGAUUUGAGACGUUGAAGAUCUGCUGGGAUUUUUGAUUAUGGAGAGGAGAUGAACCUUGAAUCACGGAAGCGGGGAAGACGCGUACGGUUGCGGGAAGGAAGCAGGGGAGGCUUGGGAACGGUGGGGCGCUAACCUGCAACUGGCCGUGAGCUCACUGGGAAGGUGUUUGGAUGGAUUCGGAAGAGAG